CUAAAAACCUAGCCCAAUAAUUAAUUUUUAUAUUAUUCUACUAAUCAAAAUAUUUUAACAAUUAAGUAAAGAAGAUUAAAAAAUUUAUUAGAGCUAUAAACAUGUACCGUGAGGGAAAAGUGAAAUAAUAAUGAAAUAUUUUUAAAGCGUAAAAAAGUAGAGUUAAGACCUCGUACCUUUUGCAUCAUGGUUUAACCAGUAAAAUCAAGCAAAAAGAAUUACAGUUUGAUAUCCCGAAACUAAGUGAGCUACUCUAGGACAGCUAAAUGAGCCAACCCGUCUCUGUUGCAAAAGAGUGGGAAGAUCUUAGAGUAGAGAUGAUAUAUCUAGCGAACUUAGCGAUAGCUGGUUUCUCAGGAAAAGAAUUUUAGUUCAACCUAAAGCUACAAUAAUAUUUAAAAAUAUAAACUUAGCCUUAGAGUAAAUCAAAUAGGUCACAGCCUAUUUGAGACAGGACACAGCCUAAACCUAUGGGUAAUACAACUAACUAUAACCAAGUUGGCCUAAAAGCAGCCACCUUUAGCAAUAGCGUCAAAGCUUAAUUAUUUUGAUUUAAUAAUUCCAAAAAUAAAUUAAAACCCUACCCCGAUACUGAGAAAUUUCAUACACUUAUGAAAGCUAUAAUGUUAAAACUAGUAAUAUGAAAUUUUAAUUUUCUCUUAAAUGCAAAUGUAAGUCAGAACGAAUAAUACACUGACAAUUAACAGCCUAAACUAAAGUGUUAACCUAACAAGAAAACCUCACUAAUUCAUCUGUUAACCUAACACAAGAACAUUAAAAGAAAGACUAAAAGAAAAAGAAGGAACUCGGCAAAUAACCGAUUUCGCCUGUUUACCAAAAACAUCGCCUCCUGAAUAUAAUUAUAAGAGGUCCAGCCUGCCCAGUGACUCUGUUUAACGGCCGCGGUAUCCUAACCGUGCGAAGGUAGCGUAAUCACCUGUUUUUUAAUUAAAGACCUGUAUGAAAGGCAUCACGAGAAUCAAACUGUCUCCUUUCUCAAGUCAAUGAAACUAAUCUCCCUGUGAAAAAGCAGGGAUAUCCCUACAAGACGAGAAGACCCUUUGGAGCUUAAGACAAAUAAAUAUUUGCCUUUUUUCCCCAUUAUAUCACAUAGCACUAUAUUUAUUAAUCUUGGGUUGGGGCAACCGCGGAGAAUAAAUUAACCUCCAAACUGAAUGGAAAUUUCCUAAACAAAAAGCAACAACUUUAUGUAUCAAAAAAUUGACACAAUUUGACCCAAUACACUUUUGACUAAUGAACCAAGUUACCCUAGGGAUAACAGCGCAAUCCACUUCAAGAGUUCAUAUCGAAAAGUGGGCUUACGACCUCGAUGUUGGAUCAAGGUACCCUGGUGGUGCAGCCGCUACCUAAGGCUCGUUUGUUCAACGAUUAAAACCUCACGUGAUCUGAGUUCAGACCGGAGAAAUCCAGGUCAGUUUCUAUCUGUAAAGAGCUCUUUCCAGUACGAAAGGACAUAAAUAGCAUGGCCAAUAUAUUAUACAAGCCAUAUUUAAUAUCUUCUGAACCUUCUUAAAAAUUAUUAUUCUCCUAU
Molecule: ribosomal RNA, 1552 nt
Filed under: Eleutherodactylus lentus (Virgin Islands robber frog)
Lineage: Eukaryota; Metazoa; Chordata; Amphibia; Anura; Eleutherodactylidae
Description: partial 16S ribosomal RNA
Rfam family: Bacterial large subunit ribosomal RNA
Source: RNAcentral